RNAcentral lists this ribosomal RNA (270 nucleotides) under uncultured archaeon. RNAcentral describes it as "partial 16S ribosomal RNA". It matches the Rfam family "Archaeal small subunit ribosomal RNA", at positions 477 to 747 of the family's 1478-position model. The record is from RNAcentral.
CAGCACCUCAAGUGGUCAGGAUGAUUAUUGGGCCUAAAGCAUCCGUAGCCGGCGCUGUAAGUUUUCGGUUAAAUCUGUACGCUCAACGUACAGGCUGCCGGGAAUACUGCAGCGCUAGGGAGUGGGAGAGGUAGACGGUACUCGGUAGGAAGGGGUAAAAUCCUUUGAUCUAUUGAUGACCACCUGUGGCGAAGGCGGUCUACCAGAACACGUCCGACGGUGAGGGAUGAAAGCUGGGGGAGCAAACCGGAUUAGAUACCAGAGUAGUCC